This 253-nucleotide ribosomal RNA is filed under the name uncultured bacterium. RNAcentral's name for it is "partial 16S ribosomal RNA". It matches the Rfam family "Bacterial small subunit ribosomal RNA", at positions 524 to 776 of the family's 1533-position model. The record is from RNAcentral.
UACGUAGGGUGCAAGCGUUAAUCGGAAUUACUGGGCGUAAAGCGUGCGCAGGCGGUUCUAUAAGACAGAUGUGAAAUCCCCGGGCUCAACCUGGGAACUGCAUUUGUGACUGUAGAGCUGGAGUGCGGCAGAGGGGGAUGGAAUUCCGCGUGUAGCAGUGAAAUGCGUAGAUAUGCGGAGGAACACCGAUGGCGAAGGCAAUCCCCUGGGCCUGCACUGACGCUCAUGCACGAAAGCGUGGGGAGCAAACGGG